Triticum aestivum (bread wheat) is the source of this 135-nucleotide non-coding RNA. Lineage: Eukaryota; Viridiplantae; Streptophyta; Magnoliopsida; Poales; Poaceae. The record is from Rfam.
AAAGUACUCCAUCCGUCCCAAAAUUCUUGUCUUAGAUUUGUCUACAUAUAAAUAUAUCUAUUCAUAUUUUAGUGUUAGAUACAUCCGUAUCUAGAUAAAUAUAAGACAAAGAGUUUUGGACGAAGGGAGUAUAUU